Molecule: ribosomal RNA, 433 nt
Filed under: uncultured bacterium
Lineage: Bacteria
Description: partial 16S ribosomal RNA
Rfam family: Bacterial small subunit ribosomal RNA
Source: RNAcentral
GACGAACGCUGGCGGCGUGCCUAACACAUGCAAGUCGAACGAGAAGUUCAGGCCUAGUGGCGCAGGCGGACGGAACGCGUGGGAACCUGCCUCUGGGUACGGACUCACUGAGAGCAAGCUGAGCUAAGGCCGGUAGAAGUCUUAGACCAAAAGAUUUAUCGCCUUGUGAUGGGGCCGCGUUCGAUUAGCUAGUUGGUGGGGUAAUGGCCCACCAUGGCGACGAUCCCUAGCUGGUCUGAGAGGAUGACCCGCCACACUGGGACUGAGACACGGCCCAGACUCCUACGGGAGGCAGCAGUGGGGAAUAUUGGACAAUGGGGGAAAGCCUGAUGCAGCAACGCCGCGUGAGUGAAGAAGGCUUUAGGGAUGUAAAGCUCUUUUAGCAGAGAAGAUAAUGACGGUACCGGGAGAAGAAGCCCCGGCUAACUACGUG